GUGAGGAAUAUUGGACAAUGGAGGAAACUCUGAUCCAGCCAUGCCGCGUGAGUGAUGAAGGCCUUCGGGUUGUAAAGCUCUUUCGGGUGUGAAAAUGAUGAUGGUAACACCAGAAGAAGCCCCGGCUAACUCCGUGCCAGCAGCCGCGGUAAUACGGAGGGGGCGAGCGUUGUUCGGAAUCACUGGGCGUAAAGCGUGCGUAGGCGGUUAUACAAGUCAGGAGUGAAAUCCCAGGGCUCAACCUUGGAAUUGCUUUUGAGACUGUAUGACUAGAGAUCUAGAGAGGUUGGGGGAAUUCCGAGUGUAGAGGUGAAAUUCGCAGAUAUUCGGAGGAACACCAGUGGCGUAGGCGCCCAACUGGCUAGAUACUGACGCUGAGGCACGAAAGCGUGGGGAGCAAACAGGAUUAGAAACCCCGGUAGUCC
RNAcentral lists this ribosomal RNA (425 nucleotides) under uncultured bacterium. RNAcentral describes it as "partial 16S ribosomal RNA". It matches the Rfam family "Bacterial small subunit ribosomal RNA", at positions 354 to 796 of the family's 1533-position model. The record is from RNAcentral.